This 1528-nucleotide ribosomal RNA is filed under the name Klebsiella quasivariicola. RNAcentral's name for it is "bacterial SSU rRNA". It matches the Rfam family "Bacterial small subunit ribosomal RNA". Lineage: Bacteria; Pseudomonadati; Pseudomonadota; Gammaproteobacteria; Enterobacterales; Enterobacteriaceae. The record is from RNAcentral.
AGAGUUUGAUCAUGGCUCAGAUUGAACGCUGGCGGCAGGCCUAACACAUGCAAGUCGAGCGGUAGCACAGAGAGCUUGCUCUCGGGUGACGAGCGGCGGACGGGUGAGUAAUGUCUGGGAAACUGCCUGAUGGAGGGGGAUAACUACUGGAAACGGUAGCUAAUACCGCAUAACGUCGUAAGACCAAAGUGGGGGACCUUCGGGCCUCAUGCCAUCAGAUGUGCCCAGAUGGGAUUAGCUAGUAGGUGGGGUAACGGCUCACCUAGGCGACGAUCCCUAGCUGGUCUGAGAGGAUGACCAGCCACACUGGAACUGAGACACGGUCCAGACUCCUACGGGAGGCAGCAGUGGGGAAUAUUGCACAAUGGGCGCAAGCCUGAUGCAGCCAUGCCGCGUGUGUGAAGAAGGCCUUCGGGUUGUAAAGCACUUUCAGCGGGGAGGAAGGCGGUGAGGUUAAUAACCUCAUCGAUUGACGUUACCCGCAGAAGAAGCACCGGCUAACUCCGUGCCAGCAGCCGCGGUAAUACGGAGGGUGCAAGCGUUAAUCGGAAUUACUGGGCGUAAAGCGCACGCAGGCGGUCUGUCAAGUCGGAUGUGAAAUCCCCGGGCUCAACCUGGGAACUGCAUUCGAAACUGGCAGGCUAGAGUCUUGUAGAGGGGGGUAGAAUUCCAGGUGUAGCGGUGAAAUGCGUAGAGAUCUGGAGGAAUACCGGUGGCGAAGGCGGCCCCCUGGACAAAGACUGACGCUCAGGUGCGAAAGCGUGGGGAGCAAACAGGAUUAGAUACCCUGGUAGUCCACGCCGUAAACGAUGUCGAUUUGGAGGUUGUGCCCUUGAGGCGUGGCUUCCGGAGCUAACGCGUUAAAUCGACCGCCUGGGGAGUACGGCCGCAAGGUUAAAACUCAAAUGAAUUGACGGGGGCCCGCACAAGCGGUGGAGCAUGUGGUUUAAUUCGAUGCAACGCGAAGAACCUUACCUGGUCUUGACAUCCACAGAACUUAGCAGAGAUGCUUUGGUGCCUUCGGGAACUGUGAGACAGGUGCUGCAUGGCUGUCGUCAGCUCGUGUUGUGAAAUGUUGGGUUAAGUCCCGCAACGAGCGCAACCCUUAUCCUUUGUUGCCAGCGGUUAGGCCGGGAACUCAAAGGAGACUGCCAGUGAUAAACUGGAGGAAGGUGGGGAUGACGUCAAGUCAUCAUGGCCCUUACGACCAGGGCUACACACGUGCUACAAUGGCAUAUACAAAGAGAAGCGACCUCGCGAGAGCAAGCGGACCUCAUAAAGUAUGUCGUAGUCCGGAUUGGAGUCUGCAACUCGACUCCAUGAAGUCGGAAUCGCUAGUAAUCGUAGAUCAGAAUGCUACGGUGAAUACGUUCCCGGGCCUUGUACACACCGCCCGUCACACCAUGGGAGUGGGUUGCAAAAGAAGUAGGUAGCUUAACCUUCGGGAGGGCGCUUACCACUUUGUGAUUCAUGACUGGGGUGAAGUCGUAACAAGGUAACCGUAGGGGAACCUGCGGUUGGAUCACCU